RNAcentral lists this transfer RNA (59 nucleotides) under Proasellus solanasi. Its description in RNAcentral is "transfert RNA-D(GAC)". The record is from RNAcentral. Lineage: Eukaryota; Metazoa; Arthropoda; Malacostraca; Isopoda; Asellidae.
UAAGAAUUAGUUAAAAUAUAAUAUGAACUUGUCAUGUUUAAGUUGUGAAUCAUUCUUAA